RNAcentral lists this ribosomal RNA (499 nucleotides) under uncultured bacterium. Its description in RNAcentral is "bacterial SSU rRNA". It matches the Rfam family "Bacterial small subunit ribosomal RNA", at positions 8 to 518 of the family's 1533-position model. The record is from RNAcentral.
AGAGUUUGAUCAUGGCUCAGAACGAACGCUGGUGGCGUGUCUUAUACAUGCAAGUCGAGCGAGGCAGCAAUGCCGAGCGGCGAACGGGUGAGUAACGCGUAAGCAAUCUGCCCCAUAUCAGGAAAUACCCGUGCCAACGCGCGGUUAAUGUCCAGGAGAGUGGCCCUCUGCAUGGAGGGUUGACUAGAGAUUUAUCGGUAUGGGAUGAGCUUGCGUCCGAUUAGCUAGUUGGCGGGCAACGGCCCACCAAGGCGACGAUCGGUAGCCGGCCUGAGAGGGUGAUCGGCCACAGUUGGACUGAGAUACCGGCCCAGACUCCGUACGGGAGGCAGCAGGUAGGGAAUAUUGCACAUGGGGAAACCCUGAUGCAGCAACGCCACGUGUUGGGAAGAAGCAUUUCGGUGUGUAAACCACUGUCAUGAGGGAAUAAGGCCCGCCUUCGGACGGGAUUGAAUGUACCUUGAGAGGAAGCACCGGCAAACUUCGUGCCAGCAGCAGC